RNAcentral lists this ribosomal RNA (323 nucleotides) under Klebsiella quasipneumoniae subsp. similipneumoniae. RNAcentral describes it as "partial 23S ribosomal RNA". It matches the Rfam family "Bacterial large subunit ribosomal RNA", at positions 224 to 585 of the family's 2925-position model. Lineage: Bacteria; Pseudomonadati; Pseudomonadota; Gammaproteobacteria; Enterobacterales; Enterobacteriaceae. The record is from RNAcentral.
AUCAACCGAGAUUCCCCCAGUAGCGGCGAGCGAACGGGGAGCAGCCCAGAGUCUGAAUCAGCUUGUGUGUUAGUGGAACGGUCUGGAAAGUCCGACGGUACAGGGUGAUAGUCCCGUACACCAAAAUGCACAGGUUGUGAACUCGAAGAGUAGGGCGGGACACGUGGUAUCCUGUCUGAAUAUGGGGGGACCAUCCUCCAAGGCUAAAUACUCCUGACUGACCGAUAGUGAACCAGUACCGUGAGGGAAAGGCGAAAAGAACCCCGGCGAGGGGAGUGAAAAAGAACCUGAAACCGUGUACGUACAAGCAGUGGGAGCACCUU